This 144-nucleotide unclassified non-coding RNA is filed under the name soil metagenome. RNAcentral's name for it is "partial internal transcribed spacer 1". The record is from RNAcentral.
UAACAAGUGUUUUAUGGCACUUUUUAAAUCCAUAUCCACCUUGUGUGCAAUGUCAGUCGAUCUUCUUCAUGGAGAUCGACCAAACAUCAACCUUUAUUUUUAACUCUUUGUCUGAAAAAUAUUAUGAAUAAACAAUUCAAAAUA